Molecule: transfer RNA, 80 nt
Filed under: Occallatibacter sp.
Lineage: Bacteria; Pseudomonadati; Acidobacteriota; Terriglobia; Terriglobales; Acidobacteriaceae
Description: tRNA-Ala
Rfam family: tRNA
About the family: Transfer RNA (tRNA) molecules are approximately 80 nucleotides in length. Their secondary structure includes four short double-helical elements and three loops (D, anti-codon, and T loops).
Source: RNAcentral
GGGCCGUAGGACUACCAGGGGUGGUCGCCUGCUUUGCAAGCAGGAUAGUCAGGUGGGUUCGAUUCCCACACGGUCCACCA